This 253-nucleotide ribosomal RNA is filed under the name uncultured prokaryote. Its description in RNAcentral is "partial 16S ribosomal RNA". It matches the Rfam family "Bacterial small subunit ribosomal RNA", at positions 525 to 777 of the family's 1533-position model. The record is from RNAcentral.
ACAGAGAGUGCAAACGUUGUUCGGAAUUACUGGGCUUGAAGCGCACGUAGGCGGCGUUGUAAGUGUCGGGUGAAAUCCCACGGCUCACCCGUGGAACUGCUGGGCAUACUGGCGAUCUUGAGCCACCUAGGGGCAGACGGAACAAGCGGUGGAGCGGUGAAAUGCGUAGAUAUCGCUUGGAACGCCGACGGUGAAAACAGUCUGCUGGGGGUGUGCUGACGCUGAGACACGAAAGCCAGGGGAGCGAACGGGA